RNAcentral lists this ribosomal RNA (2924 nucleotides) under Klebsiella pneumoniae 30660/NJST258_1. RNAcentral's name for it is "bacterial LSU rRNA". It matches the Rfam family "Bacterial large subunit ribosomal RNA". The record is from RNAcentral. Lineage: Bacteria; Pseudomonadati; Pseudomonadota; Gammaproteobacteria; Enterobacterales; Enterobacteriaceae.
UGAAACAUCUUCGGGUUGUGAGGUUAAGCGACUAAGCGUACACGGUGGAUGCCCUGGCAGUCAGAGGCGAUGAAGGACGUGCUAAUCUGCGAAAAGCGUCGGUAAGGUGAUAUGAACCGUUAUAACCGGCGAUGUCCGAAUGGGGAAACCCAGUGCAAUUCGUUGCACUAUCGUUAACUGAAUACAUAGGUUAACGAGGCGAACCGGGGGAACUGAAACAUCUAAGUACCCCGAGGAAAAGAAAUCAACCGAGAUUCCCCCAGUAGCGGCGAGCGAACGGGGAGCAGCCCAGAGUCUGAAUCAGCUUGUGUGUUAGUGGAACGGUCUGGAAAGUCCGACGGUACAGGGUGAUAGUCCCGUACACCAAAAUGCACAGGCUGUGAACUCGAAGAGUAGGGCGGGACACGUGGUAUCCUGUCUGAAUAUGGGGGGACCAUCCUCCAAGGCUAAAUACUCCUGACUGACCGAUAGUGAACCAGUACCGUGAGGGAAAGGCGAAAAGAACCCCGGCGAGGGGAGUGAAAAAGAACCUGAAACCGUGUACGUACAAGCAGUGGGAGCACCUUCGGGUGUGACUGCGUACCUUUUGUAUAAUGGGUCAGCGACUUAUAUUCUGUAGCAAGGUUAACCGUAUAGGGGAGCCGCAGGGAAACCGAGUCUUAACUGGGCGUUAAGUUGCAGGGUAUAGACCCGAAACCCGGUGAUCUAGCCAUGGGCAGGUUGAAGGUUGGGUAACACUAACUGGAGGACCGAACCGACUAAUGUUGAAAAAUUAGCGGAUGACUUGUGGCUGGGGGUGAAAGGCCAAUCAAACCGGGAGAUAGCUGGUUCUCCCCGAAAGCUAUUUAGGUAGCGCCUCGUGAACUCAUCUUCGGGGGUAGAGCACUGUUUCGGCUAGGGGGUCAUCCCGACUUACCAACCCGAUGCAAACUACGAAUACCGAAGAAUGUUAUCACGGGAGACACACGGCGGGUGCUAACGUCCGUCGUGAAGAGGGAAACAACCCAGACCGCCAGCUAAGGUCCCAAAGUCAUGGUUAAGUGGGAAACGAUGUGGGAAGGCACAGACAGCCAGGAUGUUGGCUUAGAAGCAGCCAUCAUUUAAAGAAAGCGUAAUAGCUCACUGGUCGAGUCGGCCUGCGCGGAAGAUGUAACGGGGCUAAACCAUGCACCGAAGCUGCGGCAGCGACACUAUGUGUUGUUGGGUAGGGGAGCGUUCUGUAAGCCUGCGAAGGUGUGCUGUGAGGCAUGCUGGAGGUAUCAGAAGUGCGAAUGCUGACAUAAGUAACGAUAAAGCGGGUGAAAAGCCCGCUCGCCGGAAGACCAAGGGUUCCUGUCCAACGUUAAUCGGGGCAGGGUGAGUCGACCCCUAAGGCGAGGCCGAAAGGCGUAGUCGAUGGGAAACAGGUUAAUAUUCCUGUACUUGGUGUUACUGCGAAGGGGGGACGGAGAAGGCUAUGUUAGCCGGGCGACGGUUGUCCCGGUUUAAGCAUGUAGGCUGAUUGUCCAGGCAAAUCCGGAUAAUCAAGGCUGAGGUGUGAUGACGAGGCACUACGGUGCUGAAGUAACAAAUGCCCUGCUUCCAGGAAAAGCCUCUAAGCAUCAGGUAACAUCAAAUCGUACCCCAAACCGACACAGGUGGUCAGGUAGAGAAUACCAAGGCGCUUGAGAGAACUCGGGUGAAGGAACUAGGCAAAAUGGUGCCGUAACUUCGGGAGAAGGCACGCUGGUGUGUAGGUGAAGUCCCUGCGGAUGGAGCUGAGACCAGUCGAAGAUACCAGCUGGCUGCAACUGUUUAUUAAAAACACAGCACUGUGCAAACACGAAAGUGGACGUAUACGGUGUGACGCCUGCCCGGUGCCGGAAGGUUAAUUGAUGGGGUUAUCCGUAAGGAGAAGCUCUUGAUCGAAGCCCCGGUAAACGGCGGCCGUAACUAUAACGGUCCUAAGGUAGCGAAAUUCCUUGUCGGGUAAGUUCCGACCUGCACGAAUGGCGUAAUGAUGGCCAGGCUGUCUCCACCCGAGACUCAGUGAAAUUGAACUCGCUGUGAAGAUGCAGUGUACCCGCGGCAAGACGGAAAGACCCCGUGAACCUUUACUAUAGCUUGACACUGAACAUUGAGCCUUGAUGUGUAGGAUAGGUGGGAGGCUUUGAAGCGUGGACGCCAGUCUGCGUGGAGCCAACCUUGAAAUACCACCCUUUAAUGUUUGAUGUUCUAACGUUGGCCCCUGACCGGGGUUGCGGACAGUGUCUGGUGGGUAGUUUGACUGGGGCGGUCUCCUCCCAAAGCGUAACGGAGGAGCACGAAGGUUAGCUAAUCCUGGUCGGACAUCAGGAGGUUAGUGCAAUGGCAUAAGCUAGCUUGACUGCGAGCGUGACGGCGCGAGCAGGUGCGAAAGCAGGUCAUAGUGAUCCGGUGGUUCUGAAUGGAAGGGCCAUCGCUCAACGGAUAAAAGGUACUCCGGGGAUAACAGGCUGAUACCGCCCAAGAGUUCAUAUCGACGGCGGUGUUUGGCACCUCGAUGUCGGCUCAUCACAUCCUGGGGCUGAAGUAGGUCCCAAGGGUAUGGCUGUUCGCCAUUUAAAGUGGUACGCGAGCUGGGUUUAGAACGUCGUGAGACAGUUCGGUCCCUAUCUGCCGUGGGCGCUGGAGAAUUGAGGGGGGGCUGCUCCUAGUACGAGAGGACCGGAGUGGACGCAUCACUGGUGUUCGGGUUGUCAUGCCAAUGGCACUGCCCGGUAGCUAAAUGCGGAAGAGAUAAGUGCUGAAAGCAUCUAAGCACGAAACUUGCCCCGAGAUGAGUUCUCCCUGAGACUUUAAGUCUCCUGAAGGAACGUUAAAGACGAUGACGUUGAUAGGCCGGGUGUGUAAGCGCAGCGAUGCGUUGAGCUAACCGGUACUAAUGAACCGUGAGGCUUAACCUU